CACCAAGGAGUUUUCAGUUAUAUUCUAAAUACCAAAGAGAGAACUAAUUUUCAGAAGAUUUCUAAUGACUGGAGUGAAAGUAAGGAGUUUGUGGGGAAUCAUGGGUUAACUACAACCCCUCUUUUCAGAGCAUCCCGUUUUACAUAAUGUUUUCUUUUACAGAAUUACUCAUUAUUGAAUGCUUUUUGGAGGUGGGCUGAGAUUUAAAUUUUACAAAAGAAAAGCUGUAAGCUUCUUCAGGACAUUAGAAGAGAUCUGGAUUAUCAGUUGAAGCAUGAACAGUACCAUACCGAGAAUUGAAAACACCUCCCCCAGAGGCACCUCCAGAUUUUAGCGAAAUCUGCUCAACAUUUCCGCGUCCCUAUGAUGGAUCAGAGGCAUUCAGAUCUCUGCAAAGACAUCAGAGGAGGAACACAAAAUGUGUCUGCGUUGAUGUCACUGUGAUGAUUUUCAGUGCACAUGAGCUCUAGGCAGCUUUCAUAUUUCUGCAGGUUGAUGACAAGGAAGAAUAUAUAAGUUGCAGAAAACAGAAACCAACUCCAGCUAGCUAACAUGAAAGGAAUUUAUUGAUGGGACAGUCGGGUCCUGAAAUCUGAGAGUUUAAAUAAUCAGCAUUUGAAUGGGCCAGAUCCAGGCAACUCCAGGGACCUCAGAAAAAGAAAACCAUGGACCUUUUUUCUAGAACACUGACAUCCGUAUUACUCAUUUUGAGUGACCGGCAGUGCCAGAUGGACCAGCUCUGGCCAGGAAGGUAGGGUUGUGUGGUUUACACAUGUUUGCUAGAGGCCCCUCCUCUGUAUCAGGGCCAGCAAGGCAAGGGGAGUAUUGGGAGCUAAGACAUUUUUAAGGCUUUAAUGAGGUGUCAUUGUCAUAUAAUAAACUAUACAUAUUU
RNAcentral lists this long non-coding RNA (892 nucleotides) under Ursus maritimus (polar bear). Its description in RNAcentral is "lncRNA (ENSUMAG00000005735.1)". The record is from RNAcentral. Lineage: Eukaryota; Metazoa; Chordata; Mammalia; Carnivora; Ursidae.